Molecule: ribosomal RNA, 468 nt
Filed under: uncultured bacterium
Lineage: Bacteria
Description: partial 16S ribosomal RNA
Rfam family: Bacterial small subunit ribosomal RNA
Source: RNAcentral
GACGAACGCUGGCGGCGUGCUUAACACAUGCAAGUCGAACGGAAAGGCCCUGCUUUUGUGGGGUGCUCGAGUGGCGAACGGGUGAGUAACACGUGAGUAACCUGCCCUUGACUUUGGGAUAACUUCAGGAAACUGGGGCUAAUACCGGAUAGGAGCUCCUGCUGCAUGGUGGGGGUUGGAAAGUUUCGGCGGUUGGGGAUGGACUCGCGGCUUAUCAGCUUGUUGGUGGGGUAGUGGCUUACCAAGGCUUUGAGGGGUAGCCGGCCUGAGAGGGUGACCGGCCACAUUGGGACUGAGAUACGGCCCAGACUCCUACGGGAGGCAGCGGUGGGGAAUAUUGCACAAUGGGCGGAAGCCUGAUGCAGCAACGCCGCGUGCGGGAUGACGGCCUUCGGGUUGUAAACCGCUUUCGCCUGUGACGAAGCGUGAGUGACGGUAAUGGGUAAAGAAGCACCGGCUAACUACGUG